GGGGCUGUGGGGUAACUUGGCUAUCCUUGUAGCUUCGGGAGCUAUAGAUUCCGGUUCAAAUCCGGACAGCCCCACCA
Molecule: transfer RNA, 77 nt
Filed under: Methanomassiliicoccales archaeon
Lineage: Archaea; Methanobacteriati; Thermoplasmatota; Thermoplasmata; Methanomassiliicoccales
Description: tRNA-Pro
Rfam family: tRNA
About the family: Transfer RNA (tRNA) molecules are approximately 80 nucleotides in length. Their secondary structure includes four short double-helical elements and three loops (D, anti-codon, and T loops).
Source: RNAcentral